UUUUAAUGUCUUUUUUAAAAUAUGGAAAGCUUCAGAAAUUUGUGUGUCAUUUUUGCACAGGGGCUAUGAUCAUCUUCUUUGCAUUGUUCCAACUUUAGUAUAUGUGUUGUCAAAGUGAGCAUUCAGAAGAAAUUUCUUAACUGUUGGAUUAUAUUUAUGAGACUGAAAAAGAGAUUAAUCUGGACUAAUUAUUUCUAUCAAACAUAAAAGCAUUUAGUUGUGUGCUGACAAUGGGGAAAAUGUUUCUGGCUUUUGCUAUCUUGCCCCUUCUAGUAUCUAAACAGAAACUCUUUUUCUGUUGAUGGUCUUGACAGAGCAGUGCAGCAGGACAAAGGGGUUGGGAAGAUGGGGAAAAGAAAAGAAAAAGAAGAUGGCCAGAUAUGACUAGGAAGAGGGCUGGGGAGGAGGGACGGCUGAUUGGGCAAGUGAAAUGGGUGGAGAGCAGUUGGGGGGAGCACAUGUCAGCAAGUGUGGAUUCUCUGAGUUUUGCUUUUCUGGAAAACCAGCAGUAUCACUUGGGAUCUUAUUAGAAGUUCAGAAUAGUGGCCCCACUCAGAUUCACCCAAUCAGAAUCUUCAUUUUAACAAGAUCCCCAGGUAAUUCUUAUGCACAUUAAAGUUCCAGAAGCUCUUAGUUGCCCCCAACCAGUCUGAGCCAGUCCUGAUUGGUGUCAUCAGCCUUAGACCUAUUAAUAGACAAAACUGGUUUGGUUGCCUAGAGACCUGGAAAUCUGGUUCCUCCUGUAGAAGCUGAGUCUCAGAGUUCUCUCACUACUUUGGCCAAAGCCUUGGGACUCCAGUUGGCCUCAGUUUCUCUGCUACGCAUGUCAGUUCUCAGCAGGGAUUGGAUCCUAGCCUUGGACCCCAGCUUCCUCAGCUCGGGUCCUCGUGCUUUGCCAAAUUCUUGCUCUGCCCAUUCCUCUGGGAAGCAGGAUGUGCUUUUCUACUCCCUUCUCAGCUUCUGCUGGGGACCUGCUGUGACUGGACCAAUCACCUGGAACUGUGCCUGAUUUUGACUGUUGUCACCAGGACUUCUUCCAGAACUGCUGGCAGAGAGGAUGCACUCAUAUAGCCUAAUAGUCUGGCUCAAUCUGUGUUAGUCAUGCCCUUUGACCGCUGCACACUGGUCUGCCUCGCUGCUUCCUGGGGAUGGGCCAGCUUCUGAAGACAAACGCUCUGUCCCCUCUGUCACGCUGGAUCUUGGCUUCUUCCCCCUUCCCAUGGCCUGAGCUGAUGUGGUCCCAACCUGCCUUGCACACAAAUGUCUCCUACAAAAGAGAAGGAGGCCAGCAGAGAAUGAGGGAAGCAGGCCUCAGCCCCUUCUCUCUCUUAACUUCUGUAACACUUCAUGGCACUUCAUGGCAAUGCUUGUGUGCAGACCUUGAGAUUCCAAGCAUUGCCCUUGGAGCCCUUCAGGUAAAAGAUAUCCUAAAAGUCCUGGACGACUACUGACUACAAACAGGCCCAGUGGUUUUGCAUAACUGGUACUUUUGGGUCCUUUUUCCAAGGUGGAGAAAAAUCUUUGUGGCCUGACUUACUUUAUCAAAACAGGCCAAUCCAUAUAGAAGCUCAAUAAUUUCUCUGGUUACCAUAUAACCAUUUCACUUUGACUGAUGGUGUUAUAUGUCCUGCCAUGCUCAAUUUAUGGUGGAACAUUAUACAAACUGUAUCAUCUGCUACCGUGUUUUAAGCCAGCACAAAAUGGUAUGAAGUUCACAACAAUCAGGUUGGCUGUCAGUUAUAGAGGCCAAUUUUUAUAUAAACAUUACUCUCCGCUAAUUAAUAGACCACUGACUAUAUCUUUAAGACUGUUGCAUCAUUUCUAUUCUAAGAACUAUUCUUAUGGUGAUUUAAAAAAGAAAAAAGAAGACGGAAAAAAAAGAAAGAAAACAAAAAGAAGUGUGGCAGCGCCCACAGGAGCUAAGUAAUGGUGUGGGCGUUGUUUCCGUUAUUUACAUACGUAACACUUUCACAAGAAUCCAAAUGUCUUACAAAAGAAAAUACAAAUUGCAGUAAAGAGGCGAUAACACAGUUAAGACACAAAGAAAACAAUUACCCAAAGGAAGAUUUAAAUUUGGCAUCAAUCGUCUACAGCGAAAGAAUGGAUAAGUAUCCACUGACUCUGUUUGUACAUACAAAGGUAGGCACGUGGCAGCAUUUGCCACAGUCAGAAAAGAAGUUCCAUGUAAAGUAGAAGGAAAAGUAGUAAUUAAAAAUGUCUCAUCAUUUUGAAUAAGAAGUACACGCUAUUUAAUGAAGUCACUCCAAGUUUCCAAAGUUGCAUGACAAUCUCAUUGAAUGAGCAGAGAUGGGUAAAUAUAUGAUUUUCCAAAAAGCAGUCUUGGCCAAGCAAAAUCAAAGGUCCAGGAAGAAGUUCCUCAAGAUUAGCAAGAGGAUAUGGAUAGGAAAUAGACCUAUUCAUUGCACUUUUCUGAAGGUCCAGAUUUUCUCAGGAUAGACUUUAUUGAUAAAUCAUGAAGAAACUGUAUUUGAAGUUAGUAUAAAAAACCCAGUUUUGAUGGAUAACAUGAAAACUCUCCUUUAUUUGCUUUCAGUUUUAUGCCUGAUGUUAUGUCAUUAUUUGAACAGGGUUCAAACAAACCAUUCAAACUUUUGGAAAACGGGAAACCUGGUACGGGGGCAAAAUACUCUCAGGAAAACUGUCUAAAAUGUUGCAGAGGCUUAAGAAGUGAUGAGUAUAUAGAACAACACAUCACUACUACUGCUAUGAUAACUUUAGUAUGUGCAGUUACGGUCAAACCACUCAAAAUUACAAUGUCAUUUGUCUUCUUUGUAUCUCUUUUAUUUUUACAAGUCACAUGGCAAAAUCAACAAAUACUACAUCAUCCCUCUGAGGAUUCAGCUGUGGAAAAAGCAUCUGCUAGCUCAUCUCUAGGGGAAAUCCAGGUGAGAGAAGCCCUACCCUGGAGCAUCUCCGGAAAACUCAUACAAACCAACAAGAGAGGCAACUUGGUAUAUCUGUCAAGGCCAAAGAACUCUGAUACUAGCUCUUCACACGACUACCAGGCAAGUAAGAACUUUCUUGCUCCCCUCUCCUCAUCUUCCUCCCAGUAUUCUAACCGCAGAGAAGUGUGCAGUCACCUUCUGAAAACUGCAGGGGGCAGGGAUCAGAAAAGAAAGGGCACAUGGGUUGCUCUCCUAACCCAGUUGUAGCUCUUUGUAGGAGGCUGAGAUGGGGAUGAGAGAAACCUGUUGACGUUUUUAAUGUGACAUGAAUCCAGACACGAUAAUUACUGACCAAAGGAUAUAUUGCCUGGAAGUGACUAGAAGAAUAAAAAUUUGAUCUAAAUUUCACCCAAGAGCAGAGAAAGUGCUAACUCUGGAAUAAAUCUGAAGUGUUGCUUUAUGAUUGAUUACAUCCUAUGAGUCACACUUGUUCAAUGUAACAGUUACAUAACCAUUUCUAAAUGCAAUUGAAUGGAGCAGUUCUUAUAGAACCUUCUGUAGCGUUUUCCCCUAUGAAGUCACCGUGUUUCUGUCUGAAAUUUGGAAAAUUAUAUGUCAAAUCGUCCUCACAGAGAAUUUUGUCCUUUUUACUUAUUGUUUAUCAGCACUUAUGAAAUUUCUAAACUGAAAAGCAUUAUAUGCUUGGUACAGAUUAGGUGCUCAAUAAAUGUGGAAUUAAUAAAGAAAUGAAUGGGCAGUGAAGAGAAACUCUGAUUGCCUGGGUUCUUUAUAAACCCAGGCUAUCCUCAGAUUUCUUUAUGGUAGAGUAAGAAAUAUCCCAGGUUGGUGAUUUCUGAGACAUUCCAACCAUACACUUAUGGUCUCCUUACAUGGAAUUAUAAAACAUGAGCAUUAGAAGGAAACUUAGGAGGUGAUUUAGUCCAACCCUUUCAUUUUACAGAUGAAGGCCCAAAGAAGUGAAAUAAUUUGAUUAAGGUCACCUUUUUCUAUAGUAUCAGUGCUAGGCCUGGAGACUCUGACAGCUGACUCAUUGAUAGUGACAUUCCUUGGGCUUCUUGCUAGCUUGGCUUUGGUGGAGUGAUAGCUUAUGUUCUCUUGUUCGUUUUUUCAUCAAUAAAAACAGAAGUUGCACCUAAGAAGCAAACAUGAAAUAUCUACUUGUGCUCAGAAUUGCACCUGUACUUGGAAUAGAGUGAGGAGUUAGGACCACCUACUGCCCUCAAGGAGCUUAUAGCCAAGUGGGGGAGACCAACAAGUAAAACACAACUAUAACGAAGUGGGCUAAGUGCUAUGAAAGAAAGAAUCACAGUGAGCUACUUAGAAAAAGCACCUCAUCCAGCCUAAGGGUAAUGGAGGGCUUGUUAGAGGAGGUGACAUCCGAGUUGAGUCCUGAGAAUGAGGAAAUGUUAAUAAACAUGGUGUGUUUAGCAAACCCUGAGUAUUGUACUAUGGAGGUAUCACUGAGUACAAGGGGGUGGGAAGAGAGAUGGGUCAGAGAGAUAAGCAGGAGCCCAAACAUGGAGGGAUUUCCAUGCUAUAGUAAGAUGUGUAGACUUUAUAGAAAGUCUAUCAAAAAUUACUGAAGUAUUUUUUGCAGGGGACUUAUGAGGCCUGAUUUCUGCCUCAGAUAUAACAGUCUAGCUACAGAAUGGGGAACAGCUUUGAGUGGGAUAAUGUAGGCAGAGAGGCCAGCUGGGAAACUAUUGAAAUAAUCUAGGUAAGAAAAAAUGGCAGUAGAGAUGGAAAAGGCAAAAAAAUUUCAGAGCAAUGUGCUAUGGACUGACUUGUGUACCCCUCUUCCCCUAAAGCCCAAUGUGAUGGUAUUUGGAGAUGGAGACUUUGGGAGAUAAUUAGGUUUAGAUGAGGUCAUGAGGGUGCCCCCCCCCAUGAUGGGAUUAGUGCCCUUAUAAGAAGAAACACCAGAAAACUUGCAUUCUCUUUUCACCAUGUGAGGGCAAAUUAAGAAGGCAGUCCUCUACAAGCCUGGAAGAGAGUCCUCACCAGAAACUGAACAUGCUUUGAUUUUGGACUUCUAACCUUCAGAACUGUGGGAAAAUAAAUUUCUGUGUUUAAGCUAGCUGGUCUGUGGUACUUUGUUAUGGCAGCCCUAGCUGAGUAAUACACAAAGGAAGUUGAAUGAAGGAUGUAGUGAUGUAUUAGAUGUAGGGAAUAAGGAGAGUGAGGAGCCAAGGGUUGGAUGAGUGUCCAGACUUACUGUGUAAAGAGAGAAGCCUAAAAAAGGGAACACUGGCAGAGAAAGGGGAAACUUGGUAGAGACCAAAGAGAGUAGCCAGAGAGAUUAAGGAAAAACAGAAGAGGCCAAGAGAAGGGAGUAUUUUUUUUAAAAAAGAUAAUGUUCAAUUGUGCAAAUAUUAUAAAAAUGUCAAGUAAGGUAAGGUUGAAAGGUGUCCACUGGCUUCAGUGAUAAAUGCCUUUGGAGACCUUGGCAAGAAUUGUUUCAACAUUGUGAGGGCAGAUAUGAUACCACAGUUGAUUGAGGAGAGAAUGAGAUGUUAGGAAGUAUAGACAGCUAGUACAGGAAGCACAUUUAAGAAUCCUUGCUUUGAAAUGGGGAAGAGAAGUGGAUAGGUAAUGAGAAGGGAAGGAAGCAAGGGGGAUUUUUUUAAUGAUAUAAGCUUUUUAGGAGGGAUGACGUUGAGGACAUACUAGAAGAGAGACAAUAAUUGAUGAGCAAGGUUACUGAGUGUGCAGGCCAUGAUGGACUACAUAGCUCAGAUGCAGAGACUGGCUUUAGGAGGGGCUUCAUCCUCCAUCAUGGGAGGGAAGUAAGAAUGAAUGCAGAUGUGUGCAAGAUUGUAGGUGCAGAGUCAGUCGUACCUGAUGGCUUCCGUUUUCUUCAUGAGGUAGCAGGUGAGAGUGAGGUAGGUGGUGAGAUGUUAGGAAAGGGGAUGGAGGAGGUGGCUUCAGUGACUUGUGUGAGGAAUGGGAGAGAGAAACAGGGCUGACGAUAAACCCAGUAGGCAUGGCUGGCAGCAUAGGGGCAACUGGAAAUUUUAUUCCAUGGAAUUUUGGUGCACCAAUUCCCUCCACUGUGCAAUUUUUCUUCUUCAUACUUAGCUGCAUAAACAUAGAAGAAG
Physeter macrocephalus (sperm whale) is the source of this 6025-nucleotide long non-coding RNA. RefSeq lists it as uncharacterized. The transcript has 2 exons. The record is from RefSeq and is a predicted model, not a curated record. NCBI's taxonomy places the organism in Eukaryota, Metazoa, Chordata, Mammalia, Artiodactyla, Physeteridae.